UCUGUCACCACGCUAGCGCUCACACAGCCAGAAAAAAAACGAGGAAAAACAGAAGAGAGAAGGAGAAAAUAAAAUGGUGGAACAACAAAACUCAUCAUCGUUGACCUGUGCUGCCGCUUGAAGACAUGCAAGCUACUUUCUUUCUUUCUUUCUUUUUUUUUUAAAAAAAAAAAUCAAAUCCGUGAAUUCUCUUAUUCAGCAGCCAGACUCACACGCGCAAUUGCGAGGUCAGACGCGCACACAUCCAAGGAGUCACCGCGAGGAACGCGCUAUUAUAAGAGUUAAGGGCGAUAAAUCAAGUGGAGAUGGGGCCGAGGACGGCGGGGCAGGAGGAGAGGGCUGCACGGAGCAUCGACAAUGAGCCCACACCAGAGGGAGUGCUCCGACUGUACGCGUCCCGCGCCGGGAGAGAGGAUCUGCUCGCCGGAUCUUCUGAAGUGAAGCGCCGCCUGAAAACGCUGAAAAGCGCAAAGUGGCGGAUGAGCGAGGUGGGCACUUUCUGUCUGCGGCAGGAGGAGAGAAAGGUGGAGAGAAGGAGAGAGGGGAGCAAGAAAUUGAGGUUGAGAGAUGACCUCUGCUCCACCAACUGUGCCGUUGCCUGGCGUGUGGCCAAGCCUGGAUGCUCGCUGCACCUACUUCCACAAAGGAGAAAGCGUCAUACUAUGACUGCUCCCGCUGAUGCAUAUUUAUACUCACAUUGUAAACCUUGCACAAUAGUUCAGUGAGCAUAACAGUUGGCAUCGUUUACGCAGUGAUACUGAUGUGAUAAUUGUGGCAUCUGUGAUUGGGAGGUGAAUAAUUCUGGCAGCCGCGGUAAACCGUGUGUCUGUCUGCGUGUCUGUGUGCGUGUGUGUGUGUGUGCCUGUAGGUGUGCCAGGCCCCCACCAUAGGUACCCACGGAGAUCUCCGGACUGAAAUAUUCAUUCUUGUUGGCUUGCCCAGACAGUGUGGUCCUAAUUGCAGCAUCAGAAAGCUCCACCUCUCUCUCUGUGUCUGGCUUGGCUGCGGCGAAGAUGAACCUCAUCUGGGAGCAGGAUGCUUCUGCUCUGGAGUUUUUCAUCAGUUCCCGUGCCAACCCUACCCAUGCCUGGCCAAGCUGAACCAUCUUGUGGGAUUUUUGGCUUUUAAUUAUAGUAAGAGAGGAUUAAUUAUGGCAGUGGAAACAAGGGGCCAUGCAUUAUUGAUGCUAUGAGUGAAGGGCUGGAGGGGGUAGAGGGUGCUAAUUAAAUCACUGCCCCACUGCCAUGUCCUCCUCUGUCUCUGCCUUCACCAUGUCUCCCACCUGCUACAUCUCCAGCACCCCUCCGCCCCUCUCUCCUCCUCACUACCACCCACACAUAUAUCGUUACUCUUAGUUGUAUUGUAAUCAUUUUUACCUCUCUGCCUUCUCUUCCCUUCCCCACAAAAUCCCUACAAGAAAGUUUUAAAAACGGUCCACCUCCCUCGUCUGAUCGCGUUCCCUUUUCAGGAAUCUCACAGAAGUUCAGCUUUUCCUACACCCUCUGAGUCAUGUCCCAGAAAAUGUUCACUCUGUUUCAAUUAUAUCUCCUCCAGCGCGCUCCCGCAUUCAGAUGAGAGUGAUUUAUCCAUCUCUUCAAUGCCUCUCUGUCGUGACAAGCCAUCAUCUUAAACGAGCUCCUCAGUUUCAAUUUCAACCCCCAUUAGGGAAGUCCUCUCAGCUCAACAUGAGAGGAGUGGUUUUGGGAGCCAACAGUAACAAAAGGCUGCCAUCUACUGGAAUUUUGUCAUAAUUGUCACCUGCUUAAAGUACCCUCUGUAUUGUCAAAGAAUAAAAAAAUGACAGAAACUCCGUUUAACUGAUGCAAGAAGUGAAAUCAUACCACAUAAAUGAAAUUCUUGAAAUGUAAAGUUUUAUUUUCUCACUUUCAAAGGGGAAGACAGGUGGGAAUGUAAUAUUUUAUUAAAGGCAGAAUAUUUCAGCCGUGAGUGAGUGCUUGCAUCACACAUGAGGUUUACAGUGGUCCCUUUCCAUGCUAAAUGCAGACAAAGAGAUACCAUGCAGUGUUCUGCUGGGAAACCUUUGGUCCAGGCUUUCAUGUGGAUCUAGCUUAGACACGUACCACGAUGACAGCCCUCGCCCAGGCUGCUAACGCUGCUAUGCACGUUGGUGACGUAACAGUCUGUCUUUUCCCGAGGUGAUCAGCUCAUGACAUCAAUUUGAUCAGGAGCACCUGGGCCCAGGCUCACUGUCUCGCUCCUCACCAGUGCCGACAUGUUUAUUGUCUUUUGGCUGUUUAUUUAUUUCUACCCUACAACACUGCAGCCACAGCGUAUAGAGUUUUGAGAAAGUAUUAGUAAUAACUGUCACAAAGUUUGCUACUUCACUUUUCGAUCUUUGGUCAAAUGUUGGUGGAUGGUAUACUGAAGUAUAAUCACAAGCAUUCCGUAAGUGACAAAGGCUUUUAUUUACAGUUACAUUAAAUUUAUGCAAAGAGUCAAUAUUUGCAAUGUUGACCCUUCUUUUUCAAGACCUCUGCAGUUCACCCAUGCUGUCAACUAACUUCUGGGCCACAUCCUGACUGAGCUCAUUCUUGCAUAACCAAUGCUUGGAGUUUGUCUAAUAGCAAGGUGCUCCACCAUGCUGCAAAAGGCAUUAUUAGUCACCAAACUGUUCUUGAUUGGUUGGGAGAAGUUGCUCUCAGAGGACGUUUUGGUGCCAUUCUUUAUUCAUGGCUGCGUUCUGAGGCAAAAUUGCAAGUGGGCCCACUUUGCAACUAACUGCAACUCAUCUGAUCACUCUUCAUAACAUUCUGGAGAAUGCACAAUGCCAUCAUUAAAAAAUGUCAUUCUAAAAACUGUACAUGACCAAUACAGCCACAUGUACAUGAAUGAUGCCACUGAAUUACACGCCUCAUACCGUUUCUUUAAUAGUCUUUCUUUGGUCUUUCUUUAUUCUCAUAAAAUGAUUUCCUGCGUCUCUCCCAUUUUGUCAUUUCCUUGAGCCGGGUCAUGACAAAAUGUGGGCUCGUCCGCCUAAACAUUGUUGCACCAUAGCAAUGAAGAAAUGUUGUGGCUGAACGUGCUCACACUAUUUUAGAUUUCAGGCGUGUUCCAUCUUCAGCUGCGGAGGGAUUGAAAUUCAAUUAAACAUAAUAUGAGCAAACUUCUUCUGUAAACUCUAUUUGUCAGUAUUCUGCACUGGACUCCAGUGGGAUCUCAACACAGGCUUUGCUGCUCCUGUUUGGGAGCCUCAGUUUUGCAUUUUUGUCAUUCCUCAACACUGUGAUUCUCUUUCUAUUUUCGCAAACAAUGAUGUUCUAUGUUUUACAUUCCAGAUGGAUAUUAGUUUCUGGAUGAGCUGAAGGAGCUGAUCCCCUUUCUGUGUUUUCACGCGCUUUAGGCCUUCACUUCCACAGUGGUGGCACUGUGGCUAAAAUAACAUCAUUCAACUCUACUCGCUGAAAACCAUUCAUCCUGCUGACUUAGCGAGUAAAACACUGGGUUCAUUUAUAUCAUUUAUAGAAAACUGAUUCAUAUUGCACAUCCGUUACUAUGUGCAUAGUUCAAUAAACCAUCAACAAAAUGCCCUGAAGAUGAGACAGUUUGUAAUAACAACAACCGAACAGUAGAUGGUGCACAUGUACCCUUAAUCCGCAACAAAUAAGAGAGCUAGUGUUGAUGCUGAAACUGCUGGGAAGAGCAGCUUUCCCAGGUGUAUCUGACGGCAGCUGACAGACCCCGUUUAUUGUCCGGUGGUAUGUUGCGUAACUGAAUGGAGGGGGAUGAGUGAGGAGUCAAACGAGGUGUUGACCGACAGGCAGUGUCUCUCUGUGCCCCUCAACCGAAUUACCACCUGCUGCGACGGCACAAAGCCUCUCUGUGAUCCAAACUAAUGCAAUGUUUCAUCCUUUGCAGCGGCGUUUGUCCCUGAAAUAUCCUCCCAGUGUAUCAGCUUAUUACAGCUAUGGGUAGAAUCAUAGCCUUGGAGAUAAUGUUAGAUCAGACAUCACACUUCCCUGUUCCGCUAUGUUUUUUUUUUUUUUUUUUGUUGUUGUUGUUUUUUAUAAGCACGACUUAAUUCAGAAUACCCAGAAUACCUUUGCUCUUUAUAGCAGGUUGGGUAUCAUCUGUAGGGGGUCUGAGGCGCUUGUGAAUUACUUUCACAACAGGGAGGUUUUUGUUAGCUCUUUCUCCAAUGACUGUCACAUGGUACAAGAUGUCCUGUUUAGGACUAGAUAGAAUUACACACUUUUCCCAAUCUGUCUUUGGAGCUGACCCAAGUAUGUGUGUGUGUGUGUGGGAUUUUACAGUACACAUGGCACACAUUUCGUACAGCAUGUCCCCGCUUGCUGCUUGGACUGAUAAUCAAGCUGGCCGCUCUCCUGCUGCAAGUGUGAUCUAUCUUCAGAAGGCCUUUUUUUUUUUUUUUUUUUUUCCUUUGGAUCUGCCAAAGCAGUGAUUUAAUGACAUCCCUGUAACAAAAUGGAUAAACACAGCGAAGCGCGGUAAAAAUAGAGGCGGGCACGUGCGAGCGGGCAUAUAGACGGGCUUACCCGGUGCCUGCGAAUACACGCAUCACGAGUGGAGCAAGUGACAUAUCUGACUUAAUUAGCGGCUACAAACAAACGGAGUCUCCCCCGGGGGUACCGCACACACACAAACACAAACACAUGGCAGGUAGACUAGCACCUGUUACGUAACGGCGUGCAAGGCCUAAUAAUGACAAGUGGAUUUAAAUAAAAUAAAAAAUAAAGCCGUUACAACCAUCAAGACUAAAUGCAGUGCAUGCAGAAACUAUAGGAUUUAGAAGAAGUGGUUAUGUUAAUCCCUUUAUGCACAAAUGAGCGCAUACGCAGAAGGAUAUCCAUUUGGUUUCCAAUUAGAGCAAUUUGUUCUACUUGUCAGUGUGUCAGCUAUGUGGAGUAAUUUUGUUAAUAUGACAGACGGUCAGGGGAUUUUACAAUGCCUGGCUGCUCUGACACAUCUGUGUAAUAGAUUUGAAAGCGUACCUGACAAUUUGUCUCUCUAGUAAUCUAUACAGCCAGCAUGGUCGCAUUUCAUCAUUACUAUUAUUAUUUAUUUAUUUGUUUGUUUCUGUGCAACAUUUGAGACAUUUCCGCUGCUCGCCAGGUUGACGGUGUGUUGCUUUAAUUUAUCGUAACUCCAGCUGCUCUUGUGGAACUGGAGACGAUGAGCUGACAGGGGCAGAGCAACCCCCAGGAGUUCAUAAAGAAAAAAAAAAUAAUAAUAAUAAUGAAAAGGGCUGGAUUUUCCACACAGCAGAAUGCGAAUAUCUGAUUCGCCAGUGCCCUAAAUCUGAUUUUGUGGUGCUCUAAUCCAGCCGGUAUGUAUUAUGCAGCAUAAUGUCUCCGUUCAUAGUCAACCUUUGGUGAAAUACCAAAUAUGCUUAAAGUCCCUCUCUGAACAUUCCACACGUUCACUUUUCUAUUUCAACAAAGCAACAGUUCCAUGGCCUCAUUAUCUUUGUAUGUACCAGCAACAUAUUUUCUGACCAAGUGAUUUCAUUUUUACCUCAUCUUGAAUUUGCACUUACAUUCUGCACUAAAUCCGUUCUCAUUUUGCCAGAGAACUAUGAUUAUUUUUUAAAGAUUUACUGCCUCCUCCAGUAAUGGAGUUUCAGAUCACAGCUGAUCGUCCUGUUUACGUUUGCCUUGCCAGCGCCGCACUUGCUUGUUCAGCCUGUGUUUGGUUCCUGUUCUUUCUACUUUUAUCUUGGCUUGUCCUCACUGCUUUCCUCAUUGGAGCUGUGCAGUUUCCCCUAACAACUCACUCGCUCACGUGACCACUGGUGACAGAAACUUCACUGUCCAAAUGAGGAAAUUACUUGUUUUUGAGAAGUAAACAAAAUAAUGAGGAAACAAACAAAUACGCAAAGAAAGACGAGUUCCCGGAAUCCUACGGCAAAACAAAUCUUCACAUUAAAAGAUUUCUUUGAGGAGCUCUUUAAUCUGCAUGACACGACGUUUCCUUCAUGGCUAUGAUGGAGCGGGGCUAAAGACACGGAAGCGAGAUCGGGAGUCUUGGCAGCGGAGCAAAUGUUAUGAAGUCAUCCCCUAAAGCGGCCAACUUCCAUGCUGAGUGGGCCACUUCAUAUCUUUCAUAUAAAAACAUUUCAGACCAAAGUUUUCUGAGAGAAGGACAAGAACAGAACUUAGCGGAGGCCUGCUGGCAAUUACAAAAGCAAUUUUCAUAUUACAAAAGAGAGCAAUAAUCAACAGGGCUGGUCAUCAAGACUCCAGAGGAUGUUUCAGACUCAGUCCAGUAGAUUUGAAGAGGGAUUUGUGUGUAUACAAAAGCAAAGGUACAAACAAAUGUAAAACAAUGAUGUACAGUAUAUCAAUUAACACGCUUUGUUCUGUCUGAAUUGAGCAAGUGAGCAAACAGGUAGUGUUAAUUUAAAAGAGGCCGGCAAAAAUAAGCUGAAGCUUCGACCUGCACCUCCCAGUCAAUGCACAUCUGUUCUGUAAAUUCUACUUUAACAGAAA
This is a long non-coding RNA of Mugil cephalus (flathead mullet), 6467 nucleotides long. RefSeq lists it as uncharacterized. The transcript has 3 exons. Lineage: Eukaryota; Metazoa; Chordata; Actinopteri; Mugiliformes; Mugilidae. The record is from RefSeq and is a predicted model, not a curated record.